UAAAUUUUAUUUUAUUAAAAUAUUUUAUUUACAAUAAAAAGAUAAUAUUAAUUUAUUAAAUUUAA
Molecule: transfer RNA, 65 nt
Filed under: Diapriidae sp. ZJUH_2016010
Lineage: Eukaryota; Metazoa; Arthropoda; Insecta; Hymenoptera; Diapriidae
Description: tRNA-Val
Source: RNAcentral